Molecule: ribosomal RNA, 285 nt
Filed under: uncultured soil bacterium
Lineage: Bacteria
Description: partial 16S ribosomal RNA
Rfam family: Bacterial small subunit ribosomal RNA
Source: RNAcentral
AGAUUGAACGCUGGCGGCAUGCCUUACACAUGCAAGUCGAACGGCAGCGCGGACUUCGGUCUGGCGGCGAGUGGCGAACGGGUGAGUAAUAUAUCGGAACGUGCCCAGUAGCGGGGGAUAACUACGCGAAAGCGUGGCUAAUACCGCAUACGCCCUACGGGGGGAAAGGGGGGAUCGCAAGACCUCUCACUAUUGGAGCGGUCGAUAUCAGAUUAGCUAGUUGGUGAGGUAAAGCUACACCAAGGCGACGAUCUGUAGCUGGUUUGAGAGGACGACCAGCCACAC